This 277-nucleotide ribosomal RNA is filed under the name Salmonella enterica subsp. enterica serovar Typhimurium. Its description in RNAcentral is "partial 16S ribosomal RNA". It matches the Rfam family "Bacterial small subunit ribosomal RNA", at positions 1153 to 1429 of the family's 1533-position model. RNAcentral also lists the same sequence under 1 other name. The record is from RNAcentral. Lineage: Bacteria; Pseudomonadati; Pseudomonadota; Gammaproteobacteria; Enterobacterales; Enterobacteriaceae.
CAGUGAUAAACUGGAGGAAGGUGGGGAUGACGUCAAGUCAUCAUGGCCCUUACGACCAGGGCUACACACGUGCUACAAUGGCGCAUACAAAGAGAAGCGACCUCGCGAGAGCAAGCGGACCUCAUAAAGUGCGUCGUAGUCCGGAUUGGAGUCUGCAACUCGACUCCAUGAAGUCGGAAUCGCUAGUAAUCGUGGAUCAGAAUGCCACGGUGAAUACGUUCCCGGGCCUUGUACACACCGCCCGUCACACCAUGGGAGUGGGUUGCAAAAGAAGUAG